GAUGAACGCUGGCGGUAUGCUUAACACAUGCAAGUCGAACGGUCACUUCGGUGAUAGUGGCGGACGGGUGAGUAACGCGUGAGAAUCUGUCUUCAGGUCGGGGACAACAGUUAGAAAUGACUGCUAAUACCGGAUGUGCCUUUGGGUGAAAGAUUUAUUGCCUGAAAAAGAGCUCGCGUCAGAUUAGCUAGUAGGUGGUGUAAGAGACUACCUAGGCUCCGAUCUGUAGCUGGUCUGAGAGGACGAUCAGCCACACUGGAACUGAGACACGGUCCAGACUCCUACGGGAGGCAGCAGUGGGGAAUGUUCCGCAAUGGGCGAAAGCCUGACGGAGCAAUACCGCGUGAGGGACGAAGGCUUUUGGGUCGUAAACCUCUUUUCUCAAGGAAGAUGAUGACGGUACUUGAGGAAUAAGCAUCGGCUAACUCGGUG
Molecule: ribosomal RNA, 432 nt
Filed under: uncultured bacterium
Lineage: Bacteria
Description: partial 16S ribosomal RNA
Rfam family: Bacterial small subunit ribosomal RNA
Source: RNAcentral